AUGGAAACUGGCAUCGUGCUGGAGCUGGAGCUGGGGCUCUGAGAGCUGGCGCUCUUGGAGCCGAAGUUCUGGGAGCCGAGGCUCUGGGAGCCGAGGCUCUGGGAGCCGAAGCUCUGAGAGCCGGUGCGGUCCUGGGUCCUGGAACUGUUGCUAUUGGAACUGAAGCUAUUUGAACUGGUGGGUAUGAUCCUGAAGCUGAAACUAGAGCUUUUGGGACUGGACCUGGAUCUUGGAAUACAUCGACAACUUCAUAGCUAAUCUCGAUAAUUCCGCUAAAGAGCUUCUAUACAGACGGUUAAUGGUGGUUCUCAGUUUGCUAACUGCCACCUUUAGAGCUCUGAAUAAUCCCAACAAUAAACGCUGGAGUAUUUUUAUAAGUUCGGAUUCUAUUAAUGCAAAUAAGUGCCACACAAAUUGGAGCAAGUUGGUCGAUUCCCCAUGUGUGGUAUCAAAGGAAACUUGAUCAAAGUGUACUGUAGCUUCGGAAAAAGGGCAAUGAGUGGAGCGCAGAAGCUUCAUCUCGGCCCUCAUUUACUACAGUACCCACUUUCGCAAUUUUGGUUUGGUGGGAAUUAACUUGUGAAGGACAAGAUGACGAAGAGGGUAAUGAAGCUCCGUGAACUAGAGAAAAGCAUUGAAUUUGUUGGGAAAACAGAAAAAUUUUUUAUUUGGCAAAAAAUUAUCUGUUUCCGAUUCUCUUUUUCAAUGAUUCAAAUUUGCGGACCAAUUAAAUGUAAUGAAUCUUCAUUAAACGCUAAUGAGGGAAGAAGAAGAGGAGUAGGAAGAGCACAGCUCAAGUGAUACAGAUGAAGAGAGAGAUGAAGAUGAAGACUGAAGAUGAAGAUGAAGACAGAUGAAGACUUAACAAUUCAUUUAUUCAUACUUAUUUUCAUCAGCUACACAAAAAUAUGGCAUUGAUUAAAAAUUGUACA
This 932-nucleotide long non-coding RNA is filed under the name Caenorhabditis briggsae. RNAcentral describes it as "lncRNA CBG31492". Lineage: Eukaryota; Metazoa; Nematoda; Chromadorea; Rhabditida; Rhabditidae. The record is from RNAcentral.